This 613-nucleotide ribosomal RNA is filed under the name uncultured bacterium. RNAcentral's name for it is "bacterial SSU rRNA". It matches the Rfam family "Bacterial small subunit ribosomal RNA", at positions 143 to 774 of the family's 1533-position model. The record is from RNAcentral.
ACAACAGCAGAAAACGGCUGCUAAUACCGCAUAACAAGGGAUUGCCGCAUGACGAUCCUUUCAAAGAUUUAUCGCUGUGAGAUGGACCCGCGUCUGAUUAGCUUGUUGGUGGGGUAACGGCCUACCAAGGCGACGAUCAGUAGCCGGCUUGAGAGAGUGAACGCCCACAUUGGGAUUGAGACACGGCCCAGACUCUUACGGGAGGCAGCAGUGGGGAAUAUUGCACAAUGGGGGAAACCCUGAUGCAGCGACGCCGCGUGAGUGAAGAAGUAUUUCGGUAUGUAAAGCUCUAUCAGCAGGGAAGAUAAUGGCGGUACCUGACUAAGAAGCCCCGGCUAACUUCGUGCCAGCAGCCGCGGUAAUACGUAGGGGGCAAGCGUUAUCCGGAUUUACUGGGUGUAAAGGGAGCGUAGGUGGCAGGGCAAGUCAGAUGUGAAAACCCGGGGCUCAACUCCGGGAUUGCAUUUGAAACUGUCCGGCUGGAGUGCAGGAGAGGUAAGUGGAAUUCCUAGUGUAGCGGUGAAAUGCAUAGAUAUUAGGAGGAACACCAGUGGCGAAGGCGGCUUACUGGACUGUAACUGACACUGAGUCUCGAAAGCGUGGGGAGCAAACA